This 560-nucleotide ribosomal RNA is filed under the name uncultured Roseateles sp. RNAcentral describes it as "bacterial SSU rRNA". It matches the Rfam family "Bacterial small subunit ribosomal RNA", at positions 207 to 756 of the family's 1533-position model. The record is from RNAcentral. Lineage: Bacteria; Pseudomonadati; Pseudomonadota; Betaproteobacteria; Burkholderiales; Sphaerotilaceae.
CGCAAGACCUCGCGCGAUUGGAGCGGCCGAUAUCAGAUUAGGUAGUUGGUGAGGUAAAGGCUCACCAAGCCGACGAUCUGUAGCUGGUCUGAGAGGACGACCAGCCACACUGGGACUGAGACACGGCCCAGACUCCUACGGGAGGCAGCAGUGGGGAAUUUUGGACAAUGGGCGCAAGCCUGAUCCAGCCAUGCCGCGUGCGGGAAGAAGGCCUUCGGGUUGUGAACCGCUUUUGUCAGGGAAGAAAAGGUUCUGGCUAAUACCUGGGACUCAUGACGGUACCUGAAGAAUAAGCACCGGCUAACUACGUGCCAGCAGCCGCGGUAAUACGUAGGGUGCAAGCGUUAAUCGGAAUUACUGGGCGUAAAGCGUGCGCAGGCGGUUAUGCAAGACAGAGGUGAAAUCCCCGGGCUCAACCUGGGAACUGCCUUUGUGACUGCAUGGCUAGAGUACGGUAGAGGGGGAUGGAAUUCCGCGUGUAGCAGUGAAAUGCGUAGAUAUGCGGAGGAACACCGAUGGCGAAGGCAAUCCCCUGGACCUGUACUGACGCUCAUGCACGA